Non-coding RNA from Phascolarctos cinereus (koala), 404 nucleotides. Lineage: Eukaryota; Metazoa; Chordata; Mammalia; Diprotodontia; Phascolarctidae. The record is from RefSeq and is a predicted model, not a curated record.
AGGGAGAAGGCAAAGUUGAUCUUUUGGCCCAUCUAUGACCUCUUUGAGAAGUGAGCUCUGGACGACUGUAUUUUUCCAGAUUUCAAAAUCGUGCUCCAUUCAGCUACAUCCUUCUCUUCAGCUCUCUCUGGACUUAAUAAGGACACCUGACUUGUUUUAGCCCUACUGCAGCUCAAAGCUCCCAAUUCAGGAGAUCUAUCAGCCUCAGACUCUUCUAGUAUCCAGGAUUACUGCUGUGCACCAUCAUAUCCAGCUACUACUCCAAUUCUUGAAAAUAUCUUUUAAGUUACAAAGUGCAUUGUGGAUGAAAUGUGUACUCUAAUGAAAAUGUGUAUCCCUAAAGUAUUGAAGAAAUAAGUUUCAGUCCUUCAAGAAAGAAAGAAAAGAAGGAAAGAAGCAAGAAA